Molecule: ribosomal RNA, 371 nt
Filed under: uncultured bacterium
Lineage: Bacteria
Description: bacterial SSU rRNA
Rfam family: Bacterial small subunit ribosomal RNA
Source: RNAcentral
GGGGGGGGCGAGCGUUAUUCGGAAUUAUUGGGCGUAAAGGGCGCGUAGGUGGCUUGGUAAGUCAAAGGUGAAAUCCCUCGGCUCAACUGAGGAAUUGCCUUUGAAACUGCCUGGCUUGAGGCCGGGAGGGGGUAGCGGAAUUCCCAGUGUAGCGGUGAAAUGCGUAGAUACUGGGAGGAACACCGGUGGCGAAGGCGGCUACCUGGACCGGUUCUGACACUGAGGCGCGAAAGCGUGGGGAGCAAACAGGAUUAGAUACCCUGGUAGUCCACGCUGUAAACGAUGGGUGCUCGGUGUCGCGGGUAUCGGCCCCUGCGGUGCCUUAGCUAACGCGUUAAGCACCCCGCCUGGGGAGUACGGUCGCAAGGCUG